This 501-nucleotide ribosomal RNA is filed under the name uncultured bacterium. RNAcentral describes it as "partial 16S ribosomal RNA". It matches the Rfam family "Bacterial small subunit ribosomal RNA", at positions 30 to 523 of the family's 1533-position model. The record is from RNAcentral.
AUUGAACGCUGGCGGCAGGCUUAACACAUGCAAGUCGAGCGGAGCGAGGGUGCUUGCACCUUAGCUUAGCGGCGGACGGGUGAGUAAUGCUUAGGAAUCUGCCUAUUAGUGGGGGACAACAUUCCGAAAGGAAUGCUAAUACCGCAUACGCCCUACGGGGGAAAGCAGGGGAUCUUCGGACCUUGCGCUAAUAGAUGAGCCCAGGUCGGAUUAGCUAGGUGGUGGGGUAAAGGCCUACCAAGGCGACGAUCUGUAGCGGGUCUGAGAGGAUGAUCCGCCACACUGGGACUGAGACACGGCCCAGACUCCUACGGGAGGCAGCAGUGGGGAAUAUUGGACAAUGGGCGGAAGCCUGAUCCAGCCAUGCCGCGUGUGUGAAGAAGGCCUUUUGGUUGUAAAGCACUUUAAGCGAGGAGGAGGCUACUUAGAUUAAUACUCUGGGAUAGUGGACGUUACUCGCAGAAUAAGCACCGGCUAACUCUGUGCCAGCCGCCGCGGUAA